GGAUCGAUGAAGCUACCCAAACAUGUGUUCCUUGGAGAACUGAACAAAGUGAGUCUGGAAUCCCGUCCAUCUGCUCUCCUUGCACGCAGGUCC
Choloepus hoffmanni (Hoffmann's two-fingered sloth) is the source of this 93-nucleotide small nucleolar RNA. Its record names the gene SNORD116. It matches the Rfam family "Small nucleolar RNA SNORD116". From Rfam's summary of the family: HBII-85 is a member of the C/D class of snoRNAs, which contain the C (UGAUGA) and D (CUGA) box motifs. The record is from Ensembl. NCBI's taxonomy places the organism in Eukaryota, Metazoa, Chordata, Mammalia, Pilosa, Megalonychidae.